AUUGAACGCUGGCGGCAGGCCUAACACAUGCCAGUCGAGCGGAUGAAGGGAGCUUGCUCCUGGAUUCAGCGGCGGACGGGUGAGUAAUGCCUAGGAAUCUGCCUGGUAGUGGGGGAUAACGUCCGGAAACGGGCGCUAAUACCGCAUACGUCCUGAGGGAGAAAGUGGGGGAUCUUCGGACCUCACGCUAUCAGAUGAGCCUAGGUCGGAUUAGCUAGUUGGUGGGGUAAAGGCCUACCAAGGCGACGAUCCGUAACUGGUCUGAGAGGAUGAUCAGUCACACUGGAACUGAGACACGGUCCAGACUCCUACGGGAGGCAGCAGUGGGGAAUACUGGACAAUGGGCGAAAGCCUGAUCCAGCCAUGCCGCGUGUGUGAAGAAGGUCUUCGGAUUGUAAAGCACUUUAAGUUGGGAGGAAGGGCAGUAAGUUAAUACCUUGCUGUUUUGACGUUACCAACAGAAUAAGCACCGGCUAACUUCGUG
RNAcentral lists this ribosomal RNA (484 nucleotides) under uncultured bacterium. Its description in RNAcentral is "partial 16S ribosomal RNA". It matches the Rfam family "Bacterial small subunit ribosomal RNA", at positions 30 to 507 of the family's 1533-position model. The record is from RNAcentral.